Molecule: ribosomal RNA, 538 nt
Filed under: Dictyoplax lecus
Lineage: Eukaryota; Metazoa; Porifera; Hexactinellida; Sceptrulophora; Auloplacidae
Description: partial 16S ribosomal RNA
Rfam family: Bacterial large subunit ribosomal RNA
Source: RNAcentral
ACUGUUUACCAAAAACAUAGCUACUAGAAAACAUUAUUAAUAGUGACGCCUGCUCAAUGGUUGACAAUAAACAACAAAACCAACUCAAUAGCUGCGGUAACAUUUAACCGCACAAAGGUAGCACAACAAAUAGCCUACUAAUUACAGGAUUGCAUGAAGGCAUAACGAAGCUCAAACUGUCUCAAGACCCCACUAUAAAAAUAGAAUGUGUGUGCAAAUCCACACUAAAAUGGCAAGACGAUAAGACCCUAAGAACUUUACUCAAAGCUUCAACAAAACCAACUCAAAAAUAAAUAACAUAUUCAGAAAACAAUAAACUCAAGCAUUAAGUUCCGUUGGGGCAACGGUCUCAAAAAAAAUAAAUGAGAUUAAUUAAUCCACACUAAAAUAUUAAAAAACAAUAUUUAAAUUAAAUAACGAUAAGACCCAUUAACAAAAAAGAUUAAUGAACAAAAAAUAAAAGUUCCUUAGGGAUAACAGCGUAAUAUUGCCACUAAAGAUUUUCAAGCAAUGUUUGCGACCUCGAUGUUGAAUUACA